CCUACGGGAGGCAGCAGUGGGGAAUAUUGGACAAUGGGCGAAAGCCUGAUCCAGCCAUGCCGCGUGUGUGAAGAAGGCCUUCGGGUUGUAAAGCACUUUCAGUGGGGAAGAAAGCCUUGGGGCUAAUACCCUCGAGGAAGGACAUCACCCACAGAAGAAGCACCGGCUAACUCCGUGCCAGCAGCCGCGGUAAUACGGAGGGUGCGAGCGUUAAUCGGAAUUACUGGGCGUAAAGCGCGCGUAGGCGGUCUGAUAAGCCGGUUGUGAAAGCCCCGGGCUCAACCUGGGAACGGCAUCCGGAACUGUCAGGCUGGAGUGCAGGAGAGGAAGGUAGAAUUCCCGGUGUAGCGGUGAAAUGCGUAGAGAUCGGGAGGAAUACCAGUGGCGAAGGCGGCCUUCUGGACUGACACUGACGCUGGGGUGCGAAAGCGUGGGUAGCAAACAGGAUUAGAUACCCCAGUAGU
This 464-nucleotide ribosomal RNA is filed under the name Vreelandella stevensii. RNAcentral describes it as "partial 16S ribosomal RNA". It matches the Rfam family "Bacterial small subunit ribosomal RNA", at positions 338 to 794 of the family's 1533-position model. The record is from RNAcentral. Lineage: Bacteria; Pseudomonadati; Pseudomonadota; Gammaproteobacteria; Oceanospirillales; Halomonadaceae.